GCCUCACCUGCGCCUCCCACCCACACACCCUCUGCCCAUUGGCCUGGGAGCUUUCAUCACAUCCCACCCCUGGCCCUUUCUCUGUUGGUUGGGGGUGCUUCUCCUCAGCCCUGUCCUGUGGAAGGAUCUCAGACUGAGGAACACUGAUGUACCCCACUCUGGUAAUGUUGUUUGGAUGUUGGGAGGCUGCUCUAGUUGGAGCUGCCCUAACAGCCUUGUUUCCCACUGGUCCCAUUGGAGCCUAAUCCCAGCUCUGCUGCUGCUCUGUGGUCAGUCAGGACCCAGUUCUCCGGAUGGCUGUGUGUGGCACCAUGAGCAGCAGUGGAGGGAAUCCAUGUCUGUGUGCAGUCCCUGCCUACGUGUCCUCUCCUGUGCUCACCCAGGGUCAGCUGGCGAUGGCAGAGCAGUGCGUGGUGAAGGGGAGAUCUGGCAGAUCUCUUCCUCAGUCAGAAAUAUUUUUUUUCCUACUGUCCUUUGGUCAACCCUGAUGCCAGCUCCAAAGAAAAUCAACUGUGAGAUUCAAAAGAGUGAAAUCAAGUGA
This 541-nucleotide long non-coding RNA is filed under the name Anas zonorhyncha (Eastern spot-billed duck). RNAcentral describes it as "lncRNA (ENSAZOG00000018625.1)". The record is from RNAcentral. Lineage: Eukaryota; Metazoa; Chordata; Aves; Anseriformes; Anatidae.